AACGAACGCUGGCGGCAUGCCUAACACAUGCAAGUCGAACGAGACCUUCGGGUCUAGUGGCGCACGUGUGCGUAACGCGUGGGAACCUGCCCUUAGGUUCGGAAUACCUCCCCGAAAGGGGUGCUAAUACCGGUUAAUGUAUUCGGACCAAAGAUUUAUCGCCUUUGGAUGGGCCCGCGUUGGAUUAGCCAGUUGGUAGUGUAAAAGCCUACCAAGGCGACGAUGCAUAGCUGGUCUGAGAGGAUGAUCAGCCACGCUGGGACUGAGACACGGCCCAGACUCCGACGGGAGGCAGCAGUGGGGAAUAUUGGACAAUGGGCGAAAGCGUGAUCAAGCAAUGCCGCGUGAGUGAGGAAGGGCUUAGGGUUGUAAAGCUGUUUUACCCGGGAUGAUAAUGACAGUACCGGGAGAAUAAGCUCCGGCUAACUCCGUG
RNAcentral lists this ribosomal RNA (433 nucleotides) under uncultured bacterium. RNAcentral describes it as "partial 16S ribosomal RNA". It matches the Rfam family "Bacterial small subunit ribosomal RNA", at positions 29 to 507 of the family's 1533-position model. The record is from RNAcentral.